Molecule: long non-coding RNA, 1614 nt
Organism: Vespula vulgaris
Lineage: Eukaryota; Metazoa; Arthropoda; Insecta; Hymenoptera; Vespidae
Exons: 3
Source: RefSeq, a predicted model, not a curated record
AUAAUUUUUUUAACAUUAUCGACGAUAAGAAAUGGCAGCAUUUUUAACAUAAGAAUUAAGCGCACGUGAAAAUAUCCGCAAAUUUCUUCGAACUUGCGUCGAACAAGUAUCGUUCUGUUUUCAUUGAGUUUUCGGUAACGAACAGCCAAUACUUUAGGCAUAUUUAUUUUAUAAUUUAUCUGUGAACGGAUAAUCGAAGAGCUAAGAAUUAAACGAUGAAAAUUUCAACGUUAUUAUUCUUGUUCGUGCUGUUCAUCUGUGGACUUCAUGGUCUAUCCGAUGCAGCUAGUAUUCCAACAGGAAGAACAGAAAUUGGAUUCAAUGACGUUAACUUACUUUCAAGCAUCAGCAAUCUUUUCCAAUGUAACCUAUUGGAAUCGGAUGAAAUACCUUCUGCUAUCCAAAUUUCAACGAAUCCUAUAGGAAGUUUGAGAACAGCCUUUUGUUUUACACUUGAAAGAAUUAUUGAUACUAUAAAGAAGAUACGGAAUAAUAAUUCUUUGCAGUCUAUUGAAAUAAUAUUUGAUAAUAUUCUACCGACGUUAAAGGAGCUCCUGGUGAAUUUGUCUGAUAGUAAUAUUCUUCCACCACCAUCUUCUUAUUUGAUACGUAAUUUGUUAAUGUUAUACGAUGUGAGCCGUUUGAUGAGAAGCACUAUAUAAGAUUUUUUAAUCAUUAUUCUUCCUCUCUCUCUCUAUAUAUAUGUAUGUGUGUGUGUGUGUGUGUGUAUGUGUAUAUAUAUAUAUAUAUAUUUCGGCAAAAUUAUUCACGAAAGAUUAUUGUACAUAUAAAUUUCAAAUGCAUUGAUAUUGAGAAAGAUUGAACACGAUUAUUGUUUUAUGCUUUUAUAUCUUUUUUCUUUUUUCUUUUCUUAAUAAAUCUUCAGCAAAAUUUAAUACACAUACAUACAUAUAUAUAUAUGAGUAUAUUAUAUAGAGUGUUAAUUAUACUAUUAAUUGUACUUUAUUACAAUUUUACAUUAACACAGUUAUCUUCGGUCAGAGAUUUCUUUUUCUGUCGGCGAAAGUUUAACGUAAUUGAGCAAAAUUACGAAAGAAUUUCGAAAAAAAAUAUUUUUAAUGGUGACUGAUAAAUAAAUGCGGGUUGAAAGUAUUCUUGGCGCAAUAUAAGAAACCUUAUAAAGUAUAUACAUAUAGUACAUAUUAAAAGUAUCAUAUUAUACUGUACAAGAAGACAUCAGUGAUUUAAAAACCAGUCAUCAAAAUUCUAUUAAGAUUUUUGGAUCUAUUAUCAUAUAUUGUAUUUUGAAUCGUAUGUUCCUGUGCAAUUUACUAAUGAAACUUUCUAAACGAGUUGCUAUCCAAUAUGAGCUUAUAGAAAGGUUGUUAUGAUGAAAAUUAUAUUAUAGAAUUAUGUAAGACAUCUUUUUUUCAACAAACUCAUUAAGUUAGUUUUGAAAGCGUCAUAUCUAUAUACAUAGAUAUAAUUUGGAGAAAAACAAUUAUGGCGUUUUAGAAAAAUAUGACUUAACAAAAAUGAUUUUUUAUCACAAUAUAACGCAAAAUGUAUAUUUAUUGUUUACUGUUAACAAAAAAAAAAAAGAAAAAGAGAAUAGUAUGAAAUUAGAGUUACUCGUUGGCGAGUUAUUCUCAC